This 179-nucleotide unclassified non-coding RNA is filed under the name uncultured Glomus. RNAcentral describes it as "sequence contains ITS2". The record is from RNAcentral. Lineage: Eukaryota; Fungi; Glomeromycota; Glomeromycetes; Glomerales; Glomeraceae.
AAAUAAAAAUCGAUGUUGUUGUCAAUGAUAACGCGUCGGAACUGAGUCGUCUUACCUUCGGUUAAGUGACUUAAAAUUUUUACGCGAAUUCGAAACGUAUCUAACGUUUAUGUACGUUUGCGAUAUUCCAAUAUAUUAGAUGCGGUCAUUCCCAUGGUUCGCGCCUAUAAUUUUUCAUU